UGAGUAACCUGCCCUUAACUCUGGGAUAAGCCUGGGAAACUGGGUCUAAUACCGGAUAUGACUCCUCAUCGCAUGGUGGGGGGUGGAAAGCUUUAUUGUGGUUUUGGAUGGACUCGCGGCCUAUCAGCUUGUUGGUGAGGUAAUGGCUUACCAAGGCGACGAUGCGUAGCCGACCUGAGAGGGUGAUCGGCCACAUUGGAACUGAGACACGGUCCAGACUCCGUACGGGAGGCAG
Molecule: ribosomal RNA, 235 nt
Filed under: uncultured bacterium
Lineage: Bacteria
Description: partial 16S ribosomal RNA
Rfam family: Bacterial small subunit ribosomal RNA
Source: RNAcentral